Molecule: ribosomal RNA, 445 nt
Filed under: uncultured bacterium
Lineage: Bacteria
Description: bacterial SSU rRNA
Rfam family: Bacterial small subunit ribosomal RNA
Source: RNAcentral
GGGAUGGGAUGAGCUUGCGUCCGAUUAGCUAGUUGGCGGGGCAACGGCCCACCAAGGCGACGAUCGGUAGCCGGCCUGAGAGGGUGAUCGGCCACAUUGGGACUGAGAUACGGCCCAGACUCCUACGGGAGGCAGCAGUAGGGAAUAUUGCACAAUGGGGGAAACCCUGAUGCAGCAACGCCACGUGUGGGAAGAAGCAUUUCGGUGUGUAAACCACUGUCGUGAGGGAAUAAGGCGUCUUCUCGGAGGCGUUGAAUGUACCUCGAAAGGAAGCACCAGCAAACUUCGUGCCAGCAGCCGCGGUAAUACGAGGGGUGCAAGCGUUGUUCGGAAUCACUGGGCGUAAAGGGAGCGUAGGCGGAGAUGCAAGCGGACUGUACAAUACCGGGGCCCAACCCCGGGCCUGCAGUUCGGACUGCACCUCUUGGAUAGUUCAGGGGCAGGC